Molecule: ribosomal RNA, 472 nt
Filed under: uncultured bacterium
Lineage: Bacteria
Description: bacterial SSU rRNA
Rfam family: Bacterial small subunit ribosomal RNA
Source: RNAcentral
GGCAGGCCUAACACAUGCAAGUCGAGCGGUAACAUUUCUAGCUUGCUAGAAGAUGACGAGCGGCGACGGGUGAGUAACGCGUAGAAAUCUGCCUAGUAGUGGGGGAUAGCCCAGAGAAAUUUGGAUUAAUACCGCAUACGCCUACGGGGAAAGCGGGGAGUCUUCGGACCUCGUGCUAUUAGAUGAGUCUGCGUCGGAUUAGCUUGUUGGUGAGGUAAUGGCUCACCAAGGCGACGAUCCGUAGCUGGUCUGAGAGGAUGACCAGCCACACUGGAACUGAGACACGGUCCAGACUCCUACGGGAGACAGCAGUGGGGAAUAUUGCACAAUGGGCGCAAGCCUGAUGCAGCCAUGCCGCGUGUGUGAAGAAGGCCUUAGGGUUGUAAAGCACUUUCAGCAGUGAGGAAAGGGGUGUCGUUAAUAGCGCCAUCCUGUGACGUUAACUGCAGAAGAAGGACCGGCUAACUCCGUG